Molecule: non-coding RNA, 90 nt
Organism: Mycena leptocephala
Lineage: Eukaryota; Fungi; Basidiomycota; Agaricomycetes; Agaricales; Mycenaceae
Source: the annotation of a GenBank genome assembly
GUCUACAUGGUGUAACGGUAACACCCCUUGAUUGUAUACCUUGCCUGACUUAUCAUCAAGAUAAUGUGGGUUUGAAUCCCGCUGUGGACU